Long non-coding RNA from Passer domesticus (house sparrow), 441 nucleotides. RefSeq lists it as uncharacterized. The transcript has 3 exons. NCBI's taxonomy places the organism in Eukaryota, Metazoa, Chordata, Aves, Passeriformes, Passeridae. The record is from RefSeq and is a predicted model, not a curated record.
AAUUAGUUAUAGCACCAUGUGAAAUCUGUAACCAGAAUGUUGUAUUUUCUUCAGCAGUUCAAGAUUUUCUGGGUUCAGUGUGAAUGACUGCACAGAAAACUAAAUUUUAAGACAUCGAAAAGCAAAAUGCAGAGGUAUCAGGCUGGAGUAGCAGCAAAGAAAACGUGCAGCCCCCUGCCAUCAAGUUUUUGAAAAUGCAAGUCUCAAAGUCUUUGAGCAUGAACCUGCAGGGCUGCAUGGAAGGAAUGCACAGAGGGCCCCGAGGACAAGAAGAAUUACUCUCAAGGGAAGACUAAAUGCCAUCCCAACCAUUCUCUGCUGACAGAACCAGAGAUCAGUGCUCCCAGCUUGAGGGUCUAGAAAUUAAGUGAUUGAUUACACAUACACUGUUGUCAUAAAAUAAACGUCUGGGUUAAAACAUAUCUACACGCAAACACACAC